GGGCACUGAUGAGCAAAGGCAGAGCCAAAGGCUAAACUAGCAGGAGGAUGCCAAAGUUCCUGACAUUGGACUGAGUAGCGAAGGGAAGGCGUUCAGGAAAACAAGGGGGGAAUAUUACCCCAGCCCCCUCUAAAGGGGGAGUACCGAGAAUGAAAGAAUAGUUAAAACUGAGAAUUACCUGGAGUUGAGAACCUUCUAAAUUCUCUCCAGGAGGAUAUUUUCCCCAGAAGAAACCCAAGAGGAGGAUUCUAUAAACUGGAAGAGCCCUAAGGAAGGAGACCACUGAUUUAUCAUGGGAGCUGGUGUUCUGGUGAAAGGUCUUAUCCAAGAGGAGCAACCAAAUGGACUGGCCUAUGGAAAUGAGCCAAAGGGGCCAACUGCAGAGUUGCUGAGCUGUUAUCUGAGGGGGACUUACACAAGGCUGAGCUCCGCUUACCAGCUGAGGAUACAACACAGAGACUUGCUAAGACUAAUAUUUAAGGUGAUGUGUACAACGGGCCAGCCAGGAGCUAUGGAGGGAAAGUGGAGUCUGAAUUUCUUCAUCUCGUCAGCCACGGCAGUGGAGCUGAAAUCUAAGCUUCUCUAUGCGUUCCAUAGUGCUAAGUGGUUGGCUAAUCGGAGACGGCACUGGGCUGGUAUCACUGGCUGAAAAUGUAUUAAAGAAGAAAUCUUGGAACAAACCCGAACAAGAGUUUUUAGAUCCGGUCAGGCCAGGGCUUCCGUUUGCACGGCCUUUCUGUGUUUUUGAGGAUUCGUAGACACCAAAACCGUUUUGGGAGGGUGGCCAAACUCCGCAGAUGGUGGAAGAUUUCACCACCAGAGCUGAUUCUUGAAAUAACUGCAGGGUUGGACGGCCCUCCCUUCCACUUCUCAUGUUGUUAUGCCGCCUACACUAGGAAGGUAAAGGCUAGGGAAUGUAGAGCCAAGGGAGAAGGACCCUUACCCAAGUUUCCCAAAGAGCUGGGUGAGGGGAAGGAGUCUCGUCUCUCCUUUAUUCAAAUCCAUUUUCCCAGCCUUCCCUGCCUGGCCUCACCUCUCUUAGAGCUUGUGAUGAGUCGAAGGGGACCAGGCCUGGCUACCAGCAAUGACCAUUAUUGAAUAUACAAAAUCAUUUUAUCGGUUGAUAUAGGAAGCUGCAGCAUAUAAAAAUUUCAUAUAUCCAGUCUGUUGUAUAAACAGGCUAAAUCCCUAUACGUUUUUAUAACUUCAGCAGUCUAAAGGUUAAAGCCUGUCAGUUGAAUUUCACGAAUUCCAGGAAGGAAGGAGUGGAGAAGGGGCACCAACUCUUCAUUGUGUACUAGUGAUCAAACAUCUCCUCAUUACACUUCAAUAUUGUUGCCUCUAAAGGUCAGCAUUGCUGAACAUAAUCACACAAAAUCAAAACUGCAAACUUUAUAUAUCAUAGAGGUAGUAAAUAGCUGGGAGGUUUAUUUUCUGGUGCCUGAACAACAUUCUCAGUCCAUUUAUAAAUCUCUGGGAACAGUGGCAUGAACCAAACACAUUUCCUCUGCCUAACCAAAGCUUCCAUUAAAUCCAUUUCCCAGAAAAAUCUUCUCGAUCGCUUUUCGACCAGAACUCACCCAUUCAAUGAAGGAACUGUCUGUGUUUAUAACUGGCUUUCUCCCUUCUCUUCUUACUUGAAAAAUGCGAUUGAGGCCUGCUUUUUUUUUUGUGUGUGUGUGUGUCAUUUCUUAACAUACUGGAGAUAGGUCAGCUGCCCUGAAGGGAAAAUCCUAUAGAGCUGAUUUUGUGAAAGUCAGGGAUGUCCCACCAAUUGGGUGUCGACUCCGUGAUCUUCCUAUUCAUUGACUUUUAUAUCAUUUGCGGUGCCGGAUACUUCUGAGAUCUAGAGGCUUCUGAGAAGCCAAUCACUUCUUUCUCCAUCACCUAUGUAGAACUUCAUGGUGGUAUGUUAUAUCCUCCAUUUCAGAAGGUUUGUCCAAAAUGAGAAAGGCAAACACACAUAUACAUGCACACAUGCAAAUACCUGUAUGGGUUGUCACUUGAGUGACUUUUCAGAAUUCCAUGCCUCUCUCCAUUAUACCCCUAAUUGGCAGCCCGUGUUGGAAGAUCAAUAAUAUUUUGUUUAAAAAAUCAUAUUUCUUACAAAUUAUUCUGUGGAAAUAAAAAC
Molecule: long non-coding RNA, 2131 nt
Filed under: Ornithorhynchus anatinus (platypus)
Lineage: Eukaryota; Metazoa; Chordata; Mammalia; Monotremata; Ornithorhynchidae
Description: lncRNA (ENSOANG00000046735.1)
Source: RNAcentral